Molecule: transfer RNA, 74 nt
Filed under: Cistopus chinensis
Lineage: Eukaryota; Metazoa; Mollusca; Cephalopoda; Octopoda; Octopodidae
Description: tRNA-Asn
Source: RNAcentral
UUCAGUGAAAAGCCAAAACUUAGAGGCAUUUAACUGUUAAUUAAAAAAUUGAAAAUUUUAUUUCUUCACUGAAG